AUGGUUCAAGGGAAACCAAGAGACUGGUGGUGGGUAGAUGAGAUCUCUGAACUCACUGUCAUAGAGGCUUCUGGGGAGUCCAUGAAGCCACAGGCUGUGUUCCCUGGUGUCAUGGGAACCCUGGGGGGAGAUAAUAAUGAUACGAUGUGUGUGUGUGUGUGUGUGUGUGUGUGUGUACACGCACACAUGAAAAUGUCACCCCCAACCCACCCUGUCCCCAGUGUCAGGCAAGAUGAAGCACAUCCUGUCCCAUUCCAAAUGACUCUCUUGGCCAGGGGUCAGCCAAUGUUUUCUGGGAAGUAGAUAUUUUAGACUUUGUGGGCCAAGAGGCACAUCGAAGACAUGAUGUAGGUACUUACAUAAUAAGAGAAAAACACAUUGCACAAUUAUUUAAUUGAUAAAAUUCAAAAUAUAAUAAUCGAGUGCAGUUUUUGUAAUACAGGUCUAAUAACGACAAGAAUGGACUUCUUUCGGUGGAUGGUCACAUUCUGUGUAAUUAGAGUUCAAGGUUCGUGUUCUUUUUUUUUUUUUUUUAAGAUUUUAUUUAUUUAUUCGACAGAGAUAGAGACAGCCAGCGAGAGACGGAACACAAGCAGGGGGAGUGGGAGAGGAAGAAGCAGGCUCAUAGCGGAGGAGCCUGAUGUGGGGCUCGAUCCCAUAACGCCAGGAUCACGCCCUGAGCCGAAGGCAGACGCUUAACCGCUGUGCCACCCAGGCGCCCCAAGGUUCGUGUUCUUUAUCAUCAGACUGAUGGCAAACGUUUCUUUGUAAAAAUUAGUCUUCACCCCCAUCGCCCGCACCCCCCACCCGGGGCUGGGUUUGGCCGACAUGCUGCAGUAUGCUGACCCCGGUGCUUAGUCAGACCUUCAGAGGCACUCUGAGAGCCCCAAAGCCAGUUCACCCAUCAGACCAGAUCACGAAAGUACCAUCUCCUGCCUCGUGAAUGCUCGUGCUGUCUUGGAAGCGCGUGGAACACAGAGGAAGCGAUGCAAAUGCUAUUUCACUGCAUUAUAUAACAAAAGAUGAGUUUGGGCAGUCCUACACCGAAUUCAAAUGUGUGCUAAAAUUUAUAAAAACGCACCAGAGUUUUCCAAGUCGAAGACAAAAUGUCCCUGUUUCUCUCUCUCCUUUUCCCCUGAUCCUGCUCUCCAGAACAAACCAAUGUUCACAUUCUGGUUCUGCUGAUGGUAAAGCUGCCGAGUUCAGGAAGUUGGCCAGUUUCUUUCCUCCGAGUGUGCCCACUGACAGAGGCUGCCCUCCCCGGCGCUGCAGGUGACCGAGCGAGAAAUUAGGACGGCGACAGAGCCCGGUAAGCCACUUCUAUUCUCUUAACAAAGCUUUCCUACAAAAUACGUGAUUUCUCACUGACUCCGAAAUAUGGUUUGGUGGCGAAUGGUGUCACCACGGAAAGGGAUGAAUGGGGCCAGUAAGGAUCAAAAGGUUAAGUAUUGAAGCAAAAAAAGUAUUGUUGAAAAUCAAAUGCAGUGGUCUUACGAAUUCGAACAGGAGAACGAGCAAAUUCCAACUUAGGAGCUGACCAUUGCUCUCUGGUCCUGCCAGAAACCAUAUUCUCUUCUAGAACCAAAGGAUUGGAAGUGAAGUGGGCGGCGGAAGUGUUUGUCCUACCUCUACAAAAACAGGACAAAUUCUCAUCUCACAUGCUCCAGUCACUCGCUGGGGCCUAGGGAAAGCCUGAAAUGAAUAUACUCCUAGGAGUGUUCAAUAUUAGUUGCUGCUUUUCUUAUUAGGGAUUUUUAAGUGAACAUGUCACGAUUUCACACUAUAGGAUACAAUCAUAGAAAUGGUGACAUGUAGGACUGCAGGUGAUCAGUGUUGGCUACUGUCAAGAACUGUCAGAUUGAAAAACAAACUUCACAAUUUUAAGAAGUGCUGUGUUUUCUAAAACAGUCAGUGAGAUUUGAGAGCAGUUGAAAAGUCUGAUUUCAAGAGAAUCUCAUCUAAAAUUUACCUUGUUUUCAUGCUCAUUCAGUGCUCAGUCAAGUUCUUGAAGUAAUUUAUUUUUAUAGCCAUUUAUUUAGUGUACAUUUAAGUUUUUGAAAUGGAUUUUCUUUUUUUUUUUUUUAAGAUUUUAUUUAUUUAUUUAACAGAGAUAGAGACAGGCAGCGAGAGAGGGAACACAAUCAGGGGGAGUGGGAGAGGAAGAAGCAGGCUCACAGCAGAGGAGCCUGAUGUGGGGCUCGAUCCCGUAACGCCGGAUCACGCCCUGAGCCGAAGGCAGACGCCUAACCGCUGUGCCACCCAGGCGCCCCAUCUUUUUUCUUUUUUUUUUCAAGUUUUUACUUUAUUUCCAGUUAGUUAACCAUACAGUGCAAUAUUAAUUUCAGGUGUACAUACAGUGACUCGACCCUUCCACACAGCACCCGGGGCCCCUUGCAGAUGCACUUCUUAAUCCCCCACCCUCCAGCCCUCGUCUGUUUCUUGGUUUGCCUCUCUCUCUGUCUCUCUCUUUCCUCACCCCCUUUGCUCAUCUGUU
Molecule: long non-coding RNA, 2494 nt
Organism: Ailuropoda melanoleuca (giant panda)
Lineage: Eukaryota; Metazoa; Chordata; Mammalia; Carnivora; Ursidae
Source: Ensembl